This 652-nucleotide ribosomal RNA is filed under the name Globigerinita glutinata. RNAcentral describes it as "partial small subunit ribosomal RNA". The stretch from base 1 to 445 matches the Rfam family "Eukaryotic small subunit ribosomal RNA", at positions 1220 to 1501 of the family's 1831-position model. The record is from RNAcentral. Lineage: Eukaryota; Foraminifera; Rotaliida; Globigerinitidae.
GGGUCCGGACACACUGAGGAUUGACAGGUAUUAUAUAGCGCGCUUGCGCGUCUAUUGUUAAAUAUGCUAGUCCUUUCAUGAUUAUGUGAUAGGUGGUGCAUGGCCGUUCUUAGUUCGUGGAGUGAUCUGUCUGCUUAAUUGCGUUUCAGAUAAGGAUCUAUAUUCUUUACAGAAAUGUUGCGUUUUGCCCUUUUUCCCCCCUUCGUCCGCGAGUGCCUUUUUUUUCCCGCUCGCACUCUUCUUACAUUACGUCCUGAAAGCAACGAACGUGACCCCACCCUCUUGUUGCCUCCUCUCCCUACUUUUUUAGCACUUCGGUGUUAAAUAAUUUCAUUGAGGCUUUCCAAAACUAGAGGGACCGCUGUCAACUUCUUAAACCAGAGGAAGGUUGCGGCAAUAACAGGUCUGUGAUGCCCUUAGAUGUUCCGGGCUGCACACGUGCUACAAUGAUUGUUGCAGUGAGCAUCUCAAUUUUUUACCUAACACCGCACACGUGAGUGCAUACUUGGAUGUUUCUUUUCGCCGGCGAAAAAGCCUCCUCCAAAACCAGGGGGGUAACCAAUAAGAAGCAACGUUUCCCAAAAUCACCCCCUUAUAUGGCGCUUUUGCCCCCGGGCAACAACUUGUGGCACCUCCGCGCGGGAGAAUUUUU